This is a long non-coding RNA of Diceros bicornis minor, 4078 nucleotides long. RefSeq lists it as uncharacterized. Lineage: Eukaryota; Metazoa; Chordata; Mammalia; Perissodactyla; Rhinocerotidae. The record is from RefSeq and is a predicted model, not a curated record. The transcript has 4 exons.
UGAGGUUGUUUCUGGAUGAGAUCUACUUUUGAGUCGGUAGACUGAGUAAAGCAGAUUGCCCUCACCAGUGUGGGUGGGCCUCAUCCAAUCCACUGAAGGCCUGAAAAGAACAAAAAGGCUGACCCUCCCACAAGUAAGAGGGAAUUCCUCCUGCCUGCCUGCCUUCAAGCUGGGACGUUGAUCAGUUUUUUCUUGCCAUCUGACCCAAACAGAAACAUCGGCCCUUUCUGGGUCUCCAGCCUACCAACCUUCGGGCUGGAAUCACACCAUCGGUCUCUAGCUUGCUGACUACAGAUCUUAGGACUUGUCAGCCUCCAUCAUCACGGGGAGAAACUGAUAUCUGGAGAGAGAGACAGCAGAACCCAGGUGCCCGACUCCCUGGCCUCACCCGUUGGUCUCACCUGCCUGGCAUUUAUUCCAGAAUGAACUCAGAAUGACAGGAGUUCUGGUCUCUGAUCCAACACUUAUGAUGUGACCCCAGAACACAAACCAGAGGUUGGAGGUGGAGCAGCCAUUUUGAGGCCAUGAGGCAGCAAGCAUGAGGUCAGAGCCUACACACUAAGAAUGGGAAAAGAAAAAGAUAGCGUCAGGGUCCCUGCUGGGAGCCAUUGCAAUAACACUGGGCCAUCUAUUCCAGACUUCUGGUGAGGACCAUGAGGUCGUGCGACUUACAGCUGGGGAGGACACUGCCGCCAACCCAUUCAAGCUCCUCUUGUCAGCAGUGGGCCGUGUGACCUCGACAAGUCACCUCUCUGGGCCUCAGUUCCCACCACCGGAAGCUUCUCUCCAUGGAACAAGAGAAGGAUUCAUCAGGAAGCCAGUGUGGAAGAGUUUGAGGAAAGCCUAAGAGGAAGAGGAAGAGACAUCGCCGGUUCCGUGCCCGCAGAAAGCUCCUGGGUUCCAGAAGAUCAGCUGGAGUCCCUAUCCCUUCUCAGGCCCCCAAGCGGAGGUGGCCAGGGUUGGGCCAGGCAUGGCUGUCCACUCCCCCACUGACUGGUGGGACUUUUAUUGGAGGCGGGUCAGUGGGGCACCCACCAGCCCAGACUCGGGGCCGGGCCUCCCACGCCCAAACACUGGCACUUCCUCUUGUAGCUUUCCCUGCCUCAGUUGCCCCAUCUGUAAAAAAGGGUAAUAAUAGUAUCUGCCCCCCGAGGUUGUGGGGAGGAUUCACGGAGUAAAUACAUGUGAAAGCAUUUGAAGGUGCCUAGCACAGACGCUCUCGGCAGAUGUUGGUUAUUACUUGUGUUGGUUCUAGUCGAGGAUCUUUGAGAUACAACUACUGCUUACAGUCUUACAGGGAGAGAAGACAGGGGUACCCCGAUGCUCAGGAGAAGAAGGGAGGAACUGCCACCCUGGCUUGUAAAGAUGGAAACUGAGGUUAAGUGAGUUGCCCGCAGUCACACAGCUAAUAAGUAACACAACUGCAACUCAGACCAGGUCAUCUGACUUGAGUCUCCCGUCCUUCCUGGUCUCCAUGGACAGAGCUGAGGACCAGGGUCCAGGGCUCCUGGCCGUCUCUGAGAGGGCCCCCAGGCUUCAAAGUCUCAGCCAAGGAUAGAGGAAGGAGGAUAGACCUUCCCAGUACACCCACAGUAGAUUCCUCUGCCCCUCACUGGCCCCUGCUUCACUACAGAGGCUCAAGCCCCCUCCCCUCCCUGGUAUUUUUUGGUGACCUAGGGAAAUAUAUGUGGGUUACACAACUUUUAGCACCCUCAUAGCCCAUUCUCUAUAACAUGAUACGUGUCCUUUGUGGUAAAGAGGGACGUGUCUAACACAACAUUCCAACUCUGUUACCUGAGGAUGUGCGACAAGGGAGCUGAUCCUGCAUCAGUUUGGGUCUGAUCCAGGAGAGGCAGCCUGGAGCAGUGCAGAGUGACAGCCUGCGACAGCGGCAUGUCCCCACCCAAGACAUAUAUCUGCCACCCUCCUCUGCCUGUGAGAACGCACUAUCAUCUAUGUCUCUCUGCAGCCGGGGCAAUUUGUGAAGCUUUACUUUCUUUGUUUUAUUAAAACUACAGGAGUUUCUUUUUAGUUUUCCAAAUAUAAAAUAAUAUUCAAGUACUGAAUAUGCUGGUCUAAAAAACACCUGUCCCAGCUUCCCCACUCCCAGAUUUCGACAUACACACAGAGGUUAACUUGCCACCAAUGAGCAGGUGCCCCCAGCUGCAUGGCCAGCCGGAGUGCCAGGGGCAGGCUCAGAGAGCUAACGCGAGUCUUGCUAGGGACCCCACCCUGUUUCUAAUAAAUGUCUUGGCCAGAACCAGGGCCCAGGAUGCCAUAGAAGGCGCCAUUCCGGACUCUGGUAAACGGCAGAGACUGAUGGAUGGGAGGUUGGAGGCGCCAAGAGAAAUGGGGGCGCCAGCUCAUUUCUGAGGAUUUGGCUUCCCCCACGCAUCCAAAAGCCCAGACGCAGCAGGUGGAAUGGUGUCCACACACCAAACCAGGUCUCCAGGGAGCCAGGAGGGCCUGUCCCGAGGGCUGCCCACUGCUGCCCCCACUCACUGUUGCGGGCGCGGGCUGGGCGCUCAACCUGUCCCUCUCGGAACUCUGACCCGUCUUGGCUUCUCGACUCUGAGGUUUCCCCUCCCAGCAGAUGGGUCUCACGUCACUAGCUCCUUGCCCUCCAAGAGCGAGGAGUCCAUUGAAGCCAUCCUGAGGCUCCUUCACCAGUCCCAGGGGCAUCCUUCCUGUCAACGCUCGAGUAGUAAGUUCUACUACGAUCCAGACACCCUGCAUUUGCAAACGUGUGCUCUGUUGUUCCUCACAGACGCCCAUGCGGUAAUUGAUAUACCCGUUUUACUGGAAAGGAAACUGAGGAUCAGAGAGAUUCAACAAGAAGUUUGUGCCGAAUGCCCCCACCCGCCAUACCCCAUUCUCCAGCACACCAUCUGUAACAGGCUAGGCACUCGAUAGACAUCUGAAGAAGGAACAGUAAAUGGACUCCUGGUAUGUCAGCCCUGAGCAGAGGGGGCAGCGAGGAGAAGAAAAGGAGGUUACCACAAGACAUUUGGGGACAUCACAACAACAUGAGAGAUGGGGCAGACACCGCAGCCUCGUGAGUGUAGAGCUGGGGGGUAUUUGGGAGAACAUGUUUAGUUGCAAGUGACAGAACCCCGAAUCAAUUACCUUAAGCCAAAGAAAAUGGAGGCAUUUAAUUGAUAUAAUGGGACAGCUUGGGGAGCUGGUCUCAGGCACAGCUGGAUCCAAGAUCUGGAAUGAUUGAGGCCCUUGGGCCUCCCUCCUGUCUCUUAGUCUGCUGUUCUUCUCUGCUUCUUGACCCUCCUACUUCGACAGGCUCUGUUCCUGUGGCAGAAUGUGGCGGCUGGCAGCCCCUCGGUCUCACCCUCCAGCCCAUGUGCCAGGUGGCCACACGCCUGCCCCGUCAGUGCCAGCUGGAAUGCUCCAGGAGGAGCCUUGGGACUAGCAGAGAGGGAGGAGGACAGUUUUUGACCAGGACUGUGCCACCUGAUGACCCUGUGGCUCUGACCUUUGCCCCCUCCCACUCCAUACACCAGAGCAGCUGCAGGCCUGUUUCCGCCCAGAGGCCCCUCUAUCUCCCUCCUGCUCCUUCCCUCUCCCCUCCUCCUCACUCCCAGCCCCGCUAUCUCCCUGCCUCAUAAAAUCACUCACUGUUUCCUCAUAGACUAACUCAGAAAUAACACAAACCAUAACAUAGCCCAGGAAAACGCUCCUUGUUGGAAACCACAGCCGCUUGCUAUGGCAGAAGCUGCAAUUAGUAGUUUGAGAUGGAUAAAAAACUGAUUUAUGAAGCAAAUCUCCACUAUAAAAUUCUAAAUGCAAAAGAAUUGAUCUCUAUGAAAAUAAUUUCAGCAAAAUGGAAACGGAAACAUCAGAAAUGGUUUAACUGUGCCGUAUCGAAAAUUGAUAAAGGGAUUAAAUCGGCUUAAUGGAGUUCCUUGUGGAAUUCUUGUACUUUCCAGAUGAAAAUUCAUCCCUGUUGGGUAAUUCUGAUAAAAUGCUUGCAUUCAGAAUGUCCUUGGGGUCAAAAUGUCCACAGGAGCAGAAGAGUUGGGUCAAAAUGUCCCAACCCCUGACCAAGGGGUUGGGGUUUUAUAAU